UUAAAAAAAGUCACUGAGCAUAGUGGUGCAAUUCCUGUAAUCUCAUCACUCUGAAGAGUGGAGUAGGAGGAAUGUGCCAGCUUGGGUUACAGCAAGAUUUCUUGUCUAAAACAGUAAUGUAUCACUACUUAAAAAUGAAAGUCAACAUGUUCCAGUAAUCUCAGAAUUUAAAUCUGGUAAGAAUCCUGCAUCACUUACUACCUGCAAAUGCAGGUAGUAAACCUUUGCUCCUCUUGCCUUAAAAAUCUUGUA
This is a long non-coding RNA of Perognathus longimembris pacificus (Pacific pocket mouse), 252 nucleotides long. RefSeq lists it as uncharacterized. The transcript is spliced from 3 exons. The record is from RefSeq and is a predicted model, not a curated record. NCBI's taxonomy places the organism in Eukaryota, Metazoa, Chordata, Mammalia, Rodentia, Heteromyidae.